AUGGAACCUUCCAUCCUGUAUUCCCGUGGCUUUGCAUCGGAAUCGGACGAUAAUGGACCUAAUGAAGAAGUUGAUGAGGAGGGGUUCACGGCAAAGGAUGCCGAAGCUUUCGAGAAGGUAUUACGGCGGGAUCAUCGGAUACCAUUGUUCAAGGAUCUUAGCCUCGCGGAUGAAGCCGUGGUUAAUGGUGGCAAGGAUAUAUUUCUUGGAGUUAGGCCAACUUCUUGA
Molecule: ribosomal RNA, 228 nt
Filed under: Triticum aestivum (bread wheat)
Lineage: Eukaryota; Viridiplantae; Streptophyta; Magnoliopsida; Poales; Poaceae
Description: partial small subunit ribosomal RNA
Source: RNAcentral